GUGCACGCUGGCGGUAGGCCCAACACAUGCCAGUCGAACGGCAGCACAGUAAGAGCUUGCUCUUACGGGUGGCGAGUGGCGGACGGGUGAGGAAUACAUCGGAAUCUACUUUUUCGUGGGGGAUAACGUAGGGAAACUUACGCUAAUACCGCAUACGACCUACGGGUGAAAGCAGGGGAUCUUCGGACCUUGCGCGAUUGAAUGAGCCGAUGUCGGAUUAGCUAGUUGGCGGGGUAAAGGCCCACCAAGGCGACGAUCCGUAGCUGGUCUGAGAGGAUGAUCAGCCACACUGGAACUGAGACACGGUCCAGACCCCUACGGGAGGCAGCAGUGGGGAAUAUUGGACAAUGGGCGCAAGCCUGAUCCAGCCAUACCGCGUGGGUGAAGAAGGCCUUCGGGUUGUAAAGCCCUUUUGUUGGGAAAGAAAAGCAGCAGGUUAAUACCCCGCUGUUCUGACGGUACCCAAAGAAUAAGCACCGGCUAACUUCGUG
Molecule: ribosomal RNA, 491 nt
Filed under: uncultured bacterium
Lineage: Bacteria
Description: partial 16S ribosomal RNA
Rfam family: Bacterial small subunit ribosomal RNA
Source: RNAcentral